AUCCAGCUGACGAGUCACAAAUAGAACAAAACGCUCGUCUAAACUGGAU
RNAcentral lists this non-coding RNA (49 nucleotides) under Schistosoma mattheei. The record is from RNAcentral. Lineage: Eukaryota; Metazoa; Platyhelminthes; Trematoda; Strigeidida; Schistosomatidae.